This 29-nucleotide non-coding RNA is filed under the name Mus musculus (house mouse). Lineage: Eukaryota; Metazoa; Chordata; Mammalia; Rodentia; Muridae. The record is from RNAcentral.
UGCUUCCAGUCCAUUUCAUGUGCACAUAC